Molecule: long non-coding RNA, 1245 nt
Organism: Lagopus muta (rock ptarmigan)
Lineage: Eukaryota; Metazoa; Chordata; Aves; Galliformes; Phasianidae
Exons: 3
Source: RefSeq, a predicted model, not a curated record
UUAUCACGUGUUUCAGAUUCCUCAUUUCCCCACCAACAAUCCUCACUAUAUACAGAGGACAGAUAAAAAAUCCCCAUCUAAAUGUUGCAGCAUUGUGGUGUCUCUUCACAGGGAACUGGGCUCUAGGUUGGGUUUGUUUCUCAGACAUUCUUCUUAAGGAGGUGUAUGGUGUUGAGUCACAGCCUGAACCACUGAUUGAUCACCUGAGGCAAGCACUGAGUCAGCUGUGGGAGCACAAGUGAAGGCAAUUCAGCUGUGUGACUGGAAGGGAUGGAGCCUGGCUGCACCUCUCUUAGACCUCAUUUAAGGGCUGACUGCGCCUGGGGAAGGAUCUCUUUCUGGAGCUCACUUCUCUGUGUAGUUUUUUUCUGCAAGCCUAGAUCUUUGGAUAAAGCAGCAGGAGGUACCUGUUUCUGCAAGCCCUGGACAUUCCUCAUUCACAGUGGCAGCAAAAUUGAUAUCCAGCUGCUUCAUCAUCUUGUCUGCAGAUGUGUGAUAGACUCCUGAAGGACCAGUACACUUCAUCCAGAAAGCCAGCAGUGACAGCUUCUUGUGGAAUUCGGGGAUUGCUGAAGGAGAAGACAAAAUGAAUGAUGAAGCAAAGCUGUGCUCAGUGCACUCUCUUUCUAAAGGGAAAUGUGGAAGAUGUGAGGAAAAUCUGCUUCUGAUCCAGUUCUGGACACUGUCUCAUCUCUUUUAAAUACCAUGAAUUACUAGGGGAAAUAAAUGGUCUGCAUGAGACUGGUCCCUAUCCAAGCACUGCUCUGUAGCCUUGGGUAAGUUGCUCCAUUUGGGACACACUGUCUGAGGAGUUGUCUUACGACUCCUGUAGCAUAAGGCAGAUCUUGAAUUUCCUCGGGAAAGAGGUGGAGGACAAAUUUGGCUGCCAAAGUGGCAGCAUCCCCACCCUGUUGCUGCAGCUACCCCUGCUCACCUUCUGCAUGUCAACCAGGAUAAGGAUCAGUACAACCCCUUCUCACCUGCUUAUUUCUGAAUAGGAGUACAUAAGACAGAAUAAGGUGAGGCUGGAGAAGGCCUGGGCAACAUGAUCUAGCUGUGAUGUCCUUGUCUAUUGCAGGGGAACUGGACUAGACAGCCCUCAGAGAUCCCUUCUAACUCUAAGGAUUCUAUGAAUAAGGUCCCUGACCAGCUUCAGUGACUGCUACAUCUGUUUGUGAGUUGUCUCCUGCUAUGGUGCACUCCCUGCAGUUAAUUACAGUGGUUAUUUCAGCAAGCCUCCUGCCC